GGUGAACGCUGGCGGCGUGCUUAACACAUGCAAGUCGAACGAGAACGGAAUAUAGCUUGCUAUAUUUGUCAGCUAAGUGGCGCACGGGUGAGUAAUGUAUAGAUAACCUGCCCUUAAGAAAGGAAUAACAGUUGGAAACGACUGCUAAUGCCCUAUAUGCCUUUAAUACAUAAGUAUGCAAGGGAAACGCUUUAGUGCUUAAGGAUGGGUCUGUAUGGUAUCAGCUUGUUGGUGAGGUAAUGGCUCACCAAGGCUAUGACGCCUAACUGGUUUGAGAGGAUGAUCAGUCACACUGGAACUGAGACACGGUCCAGACUCCUACGGGAGGCAGCAGUGGGGAACAUUGCACAAUGGACGAAAGUCUGAUGCAGCAACGCCGCGUGGAGGAUGACACAUUUCGGUGCGUAAACUCCUUUUAUAUAGGAAGAUAAUGACGGUACUAUAUGAAUAAGCACCGGCUAACUCCGUGCCAGCAGCCGCGGUAA
This 485-nucleotide ribosomal RNA is filed under the name uncultured bacterium. RNAcentral's name for it is "partial 16S ribosomal RNA". It matches the Rfam family "Bacterial small subunit ribosomal RNA", at positions 28 to 523 of the family's 1533-position model. The record is from RNAcentral.